GACGGGGCCCGCACAUGCGGAGGAACAUGUGGUUUAAUUCGAUGAUACGCGAGGAACCUUACCUGGGCUUAAAUGGGGAGUGACAGCUGUCGAAAGAUGGUUUUCUUCGGACACUCUUCAAGGUGCUGCAUGGUUGUCGUCAGCUCGUGCCGUGAGGUGUCGGGUUAAGUCCCAUAACGAGCGCAACCCUUACCGUUAGUUACCAUCAGGUUAAGCUGGGGACUCUAGCGGGACUGCCACCGUAAGGUGAGAGAAGGUGGGGAUGACGUCAAAUCAGCACGGCCCUUAUGUCCAGGGCUACACACGUGUUACAAUGGCCAGUACAAAGGGCAGCUACCGGGUGACCGGAUGCUAAUCUCUAAAGCUGGUCUCAGUUCGGAUCGAAGUCUGCAACCCGACUUCGUGAAGCUGGAUUCGCUAGUAAUCGCGCAUCAGCCAUGGCGCGGUGAAUACGUUCCCGGGCCUU
Molecule: ribosomal RNA, 466 nt
Filed under: uncultured Sphingobacteriales bacterium
Lineage: Bacteria; Pseudomonadati; Bacteroidota; Sphingobacteriia; Sphingobacteriales
Description: bacterial SSU rRNA
Rfam family: Bacterial small subunit ribosomal RNA
Source: RNAcentral